RNAcentral lists this transfer RNA (76 nucleotides) under Bacillota bacterium. Its description in RNAcentral is "tRNA-Glu". It matches the Rfam family "tRNA". From Rfam's summary of the family: Transfer RNA (tRNA) molecules are approximately 80 nucleotides in length. Their secondary structure includes four short double-helical elements and three loops (D, anti-codon, and T loops). Lineage: Bacteria; Bacillati; Bacillota. The record is from RNAcentral.
GCUCCCAUGGUCUAGCGGCCUAGGACAUCGCCCUUUCAAGGCGGUAACACGGGUUCGAAUCCCGUUGGGAGCGCCA